RNAcentral lists this ribosomal RNA (495 nucleotides) under uncultured bacterium. RNAcentral describes it as "partial 16S ribosomal RNA". It matches the Rfam family "Bacterial small subunit ribosomal RNA", at positions 30 to 507 of the family's 1533-position model. The record is from RNAcentral.
UGAACGCUGGCGGCGUGCCUAAUACAUGCACGUCGAGCGAACAGAUGAGGAGCUUGCUCCUCUGACGUUAGCGGCGGACGGGUGAGUAACACGUGGAUAACCUACCUAUAAGACUGGGAUAACUUCGGGAAACCGGAGCUAAUACCGGAUAAUAUAUUGAACCGCAUGGUUCAAUAGUGAAAGACGGUUUUGCUGUCACUUAUAGAUGGAUCCGCGCCGCAUUAGCUAGUUGGUAAGGUAACGGCUUACCAAGGCGACGAUGCGUAGCCGACCUGAGAGGGUGAUCGGCCACACUGGAACUGAGACACGGUCCAGACUCCUACGGGAGGCAGCAGUAGGGAAUCUUCCGCAAUGGGCGAAAGCCUGACGGAGCAACGCCGCGUGAGUGAUGAAGGUCUUCGGAUCGUAAAACUCUGUUAUUAGGGAAGAACAAAUGUGUAAGUAACUAUGCACGUCUUGACGGUACCUAAUCAGAAAGCCACGGCUAACUACGUG